AGUUUCUUCAGCCAUUUCUAAUCAUAAAGAAGCAACCCUAGGUAUCAAUGUCAAAACCAAGAAUAGCAUAAUCCAUAACUCAACACUAUAAAGACUCAAAUGACUAUUUACUCCUUUUGCAAAAAGAAGAGUAAGCAUGAACCACAAAACAAGGUAAGACCAUAGACCCUUCAUCAAUUAGCAGCCUAAAAGGGGUAUGUAAUGGAAGCUUCACAGUUCACUCAUGCAAUAUUUUCCUAGCAAACAUUCAAGUAUAUGGGUCUCACAAGCUCUAAAGCAAGUCCACUAACAACCACAUGAAAAUAAAAGCCAUUUCAAAUUUGUUAAAUUAACCAUGGCCAAACUAAACCCAUAAUUUAAGAAAAAAUUAAAAAAAAUAAAAAGAAUUAGAAGAAUAAAAGAAACAUUUUUACAAACAACACCUUAGAAGCAAAAUCCAAUUUGCUGCACAUUAAAACAAGCAACUUCAAAGUCCAAAAUCCAAAUAGUAUCACAGCCAGAAUAUAACUGAAGAAAAGGAAACCUUAAAGGGAAGGGUCUACAAUUCCAUGGCAAUGGAGCAUAGUAAGCAUUUCAGCAAAAGUAAAGCUGAAAUAAAAUCAAAAUAACCAUUGCCUAGUAAUAUAACAUAGUUAACAUCAGACAACUAACCCUCAAAAGCUCUCAAGCAUUUGCUGGCUGAGUGAUUUUAAUUAUCAAACUAGCAACCUCACUUUCCAACAUCAACAGUACAUUAAGCAAAUAGUACACAACGUAUCCAUAAAUAUUCUCAAACAAUAGCCAUAUCAAACAGAUACUUUCAGAAAAUAACCAAAUAAUUGAUAACAGCCAUGCAGAAUUUCACCAAAUUAUUGAAAAAACAGAAGAACGAUUCAUCGAACAAGGAUUAAACGAGAAAUGAAUAUAAAAGAGCAGAAUCAAAGUACA
RNAcentral lists this unclassified non-coding RNA (927 nucleotides) under Hevea brasiliensis (rubber tree). The record is from RNAcentral. Lineage: Eukaryota; Viridiplantae; Streptophyta; Magnoliopsida; Malpighiales; Euphorbiaceae.